UUUGAAAUAGAGAGAGAGAGAGAGCAGGAAAGAGCAUCUUAAUUUUGAAAUGGAGAGAAACAAAGAGCGAGAGCGAGAGAUCCACGGAGCCCGACCUCAAGAAACCUUGGGUGGCUACGGAGCCCGAUUGGGCCGGCGAUACUAUGCAGUUCGUUGAUACGAUCGCCGCCAUCAUAUGUGCAACAUUCUCCUCCAGAGUAAGGCAAAGGCUGAAAAGAAUCAGGCGAUGGAACAUUCCAUGAGCGGGAACUCAUGCUAAUUAUGCGCAGUGGAAAGUUUACCUUUGAACCCAACCGAUUUAUUUCUUGGGUUGUGAAUUAAACGAAAUGCAACUUAUUAUUCACAUGGAAGUGGCCACUGCUAUCUUGUUGUAGUCUCUGGGACGGGCGCAACCAAUGCACAAAGUUCGAACUCUAUGACAAGUUGAAGAAUUUCAGUUCGUAUCUUGCAAUUAUUGCUUGAUUUGGCCUAAGCAUGAUGACACCAUUGGUCAAUGGAUGGUAUUGAUCACACUUUUGGUGAUAUUUUCUCUUCUACAAUUUUUGGAUUCCAUAGUGCGUAAGUUUGCAUUAAAUUUUAAUCACUAAAAUUUGUUU
This is a long non-coding RNA of Ananas comosus (pineapple), 596 nucleotides long. RefSeq lists it as uncharacterized. The record is from RefSeq and is a predicted model, not a curated record. The transcript is spliced from 3 exons. NCBI's taxonomy places the organism in Eukaryota, Viridiplantae, Streptophyta, Magnoliopsida, Poales, Bromeliaceae.